UACGUAGGGUGCAAGCGUUAAUCGGAAUUACUGGGCGUAAAGCGUGCGCAGGCGGUUUUUUAAGUCAGUUGUGAAAUCCCCGGGCUCAACCUGGGAACUGCAUCUGUGACUGCAUAGCUAGAGUACGGUAGAGGGGGAUGGAAUUCCGCGUGUAGCAGUGAAAUGCGUAGAUAUGCGGAGGAACACCGAUGGCGAAGGCAAUCCCCUGGACCUGUACUGACGCUCAUGCACGAAAGCGUGGGGAGCAAACAGG
RNAcentral lists this ribosomal RNA (253 nucleotides) under uncultured bacterium. RNAcentral's name for it is "partial 16S ribosomal RNA". It matches the Rfam family "Bacterial small subunit ribosomal RNA", at positions 524 to 776 of the family's 1533-position model. The record is from RNAcentral.